RNAcentral lists this transfer RNA (88 nucleotides) under Alphaproteobacteria bacterium. RNAcentral's name for it is "tRNA-Leu". It matches the Rfam family "tRNA". From Rfam's summary of the family: Transfer RNA (tRNA) molecules are approximately 80 nucleotides in length. The record is from RNAcentral. Lineage: Bacteria; Pseudomonadati; Pseudomonadota; Alphaproteobacteria.
GCCCAGAUGGCGGAAUUGGUAGACGCGCAGGUUUCAGGUACCUGUAACCUUAAAGGUUAUGUAAGUUCAAAUCUUAUUCUGGGCACCA